RNAcentral lists this ribosomal RNA (253 nucleotides) under uncultured bacterium. RNAcentral's name for it is "partial 16S ribosomal RNA". It matches the Rfam family "Bacterial small subunit ribosomal RNA", at positions 524 to 776 of the family's 1533-position model. The record is from RNAcentral.
UACGUAGGGUGCGAGCGUUAAUCGGAAUUACUGGGCGUAAAGCGUGCGCAGGCGGUUCGUUGUGUCGGCGGUGAAAGCCCCGGGCUUAACCUGGGAAUGGCCGUCGAAACUGGCGAACUGGAGUGUGGCAGAGGGGGGUAGAAUUCCACGUGUAGCAGUGAAAUGCGUAGAGAUGUGGAGGAAUACCGAUGGCGAAGGCAGCCCCCUGGGCCAAUACUGACGCUCAUGCACGAAAGCGUGGGGAGCAAACAGG